This 429-nucleotide ribosomal RNA is filed under the name Pseudomonadota bacterium. Its description in RNAcentral is "Proteobacteria bacterium partial 16S ribosomal RNA". It matches the Rfam family "Bacterial small subunit ribosomal RNA", at positions 355 to 776 of the family's 1533-position model. Lineage: Bacteria; Pseudomonadati; Pseudomonadota. The record is from RNAcentral.
UGGGGAAUAUUGGACAAUGGGCGAAAGCCUGAUCCAGCCAUGCCGCGUGUGUGAAGAAGGUCUUCGGAUUGUAAAGCACUUUAAGUUGGGAGGAAGGGCAGUAAGCGAAUACCUUGCUGUUUUGACGUUACCGACAGAAUAAGCACCGGCUAACUCUGUGCCAGCAGCCGCGGUAAUACAGAGGGUGCAAGCGUUAAUCGGAAUUACUGGGCGUAAAGCGCGCGUAGGUGGUUCGUUAAGUUGAAUGUGAAAGCCCCGGGCUCAACCUGGGAACUGCAUCCAAAACUGGCGAGCUAGAGUAGGGCAGAGAGAGGUGGAAUUUCCUGUGUAGCGGUGAAAUGCGUAGAUAUAGGAAGGAACACCAGUGGCGAAGGCGACCACCUGGGCUCAUACUGACACUGAGGUGCGAAAGCGUGGGGAGCAAACAGG